RNAcentral lists this long non-coding RNA (731 nucleotides) under Vitis vinifera (wine grape). RNAcentral's name for it is "long non-coding RNA (VVIN_LNC005870)". Lineage: Eukaryota; Viridiplantae; Streptophyta; Magnoliopsida; Vitales; Vitaceae. The record is from RNAcentral.
UGACCUGAAUGCCGCCGAUAUAGUCUUUUGUUUCUAGCCUGCUAGUGUGGAGGAACAUUGUUUCUCUUUAUUUAAGUAAUUGUGCAAUUGUAGAAAUGAAUGCAAUCAUUUAAUACUAUUUGCUAAUUUUUGCUUACUGUUGAGAAACAUGUAAUAAAAUUACUGUAGUUGGAUAAGAAACUAAUGCAUCAGUAAGGGGCUGGGGGUAGCAACAUUAGAGGGUAAGAGAGAAGAAAGUUUUCUGAGAUGGUUUGUUAACUAGCAACCAGGACCAAUACACACCCACCAGAUAGAAGUGUUCUGACUCAAGUUGACAAUGCUAAUGCAAAUUAAGGUGGUGAUGAAAGACAUUAUGGCUUUCACCUAUCAAAAAAAAUGAAAGACAUUAUGGCUUUCAAAGCUGUCCCAAAUUAGCGAUUUGCAUAGCCAACCCCAACUAGUUGGGAUUCAAGCUGUCUCGAGUUGAGGUUAAUAUCAAACUAUUGCAGAUUUCUUAGGAUUGGUGUACACUACAACUGUUAUUGAAUUAGAUGAAGUUCACAAAUUAAUAUUUCAUUUACAUCCUUCAAUCUGUCAUAAAGCAUGUUGAAGAUAAUUGAUGUGGUACAAAAGAAACCAAAAUUGUUUAGGGUAAAUUUCAAGUGGAUUCCUGUGUUUCAACUUCAAGAUUCACCGCCAUGACAAAAAAUUUUAUGCUAUUGCUGCUGGUCUCCUCAGGUUUUGUUUUUUUU